ACUAUGAAAUUAAUUAGAAAAUAUAGCGGUAUGUUCUUAUUUUUACCAGCUUCUGCAAGCGCGUAUGGCGUCUGGCUUUUGGAACCUCACUGUGACUUCAGGUAAGAUUUAAUUAACGUUAUUUGUCUGUGCCAGUCGUGUUUUUGACACAUGCAUUGGCAGAAAAAAAUAAAUAAAAUAAAAUUAGUCAUUAUAACAUGUACAACAUUAACAUUCUUUUAUUUGCAAAAUGAAGUUGUGUAUUUAUUUAUUUCUGAUUUCCUGAACAAUUUGGCUUCAUUGUAAUGAGGUUAAUGAUCUUUGAAAAACCAUGAUUAUGAACAUACAAUUACUUUGUCUUGAGCUGAUUAGCCAACUGUGGUAGUGUUCGUUGAUUGGUGUUUAUAUUUGUUCAAGCUUGACAACCUUAUCGCCUUUAUUUUCUAAUAUAUAUUUCUCAUUACAGAUAAGAACAAAGAUUCAAUUGUAAGAAGGGUUGCUUAUAUGAGAGCAUACAGUACAUCUGAAACUGCUGAGGCUGGGAAGGUUUUUGACUAUAUUACCGACCAGAUCAGCUGCUAUAGAAGACAAACUGAAAUCUGUGUGCAGAGACAAGCAAAGGAAUAUUUUUUUCUAAAGCUGCAAGACUCUGGUGCAAAAUAUUGUAUGUCA
Long non-coding RNA from Sinocyclocheilus rhinocerous, 651 nucleotides. RefSeq lists it as uncharacterized. The record is from RefSeq and is a predicted model, not a curated record. The transcript is spliced from 3 exons. NCBI's taxonomy places the organism in Eukaryota, Metazoa, Chordata, Actinopteri, Cypriniformes, Cyprinidae.